AUUGAACGCUGGCGGAAUGCUUUACACAUGCAAGUCGAACGGCAGCACGGGGCAACCUGGUGGCGAGUGGUGAACGGGUGAGUAAUACAUCGGAACGUGCCCAAUCGUGGGGGGAUAACGUAGCGAAAGUUACGCUAAUACCGCAUACGAUCUACGGAUGAAAGCGGGGGAUCGCAAGACCUCGCGCGAGUGGAGCGGCCGAUGUCAGAUUAGGUAGUUGGUGGGGUAAAAGGCUCACCAAGCCAACGAUCUGUAGCUGGUCUGAGAGGACGACCAGCCACACUGGAACUGAGACACGGUCCAGACUCCUACGGGAGGCAGCAGUGGGGAAUUUUGGACAAUGGGCGCAAGCCUGAUCCAGCCAUUCCGCGUGCAGGAUGAAGGCCUCGGUUGGU
Molecule: ribosomal RNA, 395 nt
Filed under: uncultured bacterium
Lineage: Bacteria
Description: bacterial SSU rRNA
Rfam family: Bacterial small subunit ribosomal RNA
Source: RNAcentral